GAUCAUGGCUCAGGAUGAACGCUGGCGGCGUGCUUAACACAUGCAAGUCGAGCGAAGCAAUUUAAGUGAAGUUUUCGGAUGGAUCUUAAAUUGACUGAGCGGCGGACGGGUGAGUAACGCGUGGAUAACCUGCCUCACACAGGGGGAUAACAGUUAGAAAUGACUGCUAAUACCGCAUAAGCGCACGGUACCGCAUGGUACAGUGUGAAAAAACUCCGGUGGUGUGAGAUGGAUCCCG
This 238-nucleotide ribosomal RNA is filed under the name uncultured bacterium. RNAcentral describes it as "partial 16S ribosomal RNA". It matches the Rfam family "Bacterial small subunit ribosomal RNA", at positions 15 to 235 of the family's 1533-position model. The record is from RNAcentral.